This 245-nucleotide ribosomal RNA is filed under the name uncultured bacterium. Its description in RNAcentral is "partial 16S ribosomal RNA". It matches the Rfam family "Bacterial small subunit ribosomal RNA", at positions 524 to 767 of the family's 1533-position model. The record is from RNAcentral.
UACGGAGGAUCCAAGCGUUAUCCGGAAUUACUGGGCGUAAAGAGUUGCGUAGGUGGCAGAGUAAGUUGGUAGUGAAAGCGUUCGGCUCAACCGGAUAUACAUUACCAAAACUACUCAGCUAGAGGACGAGAGAGGUGAUUGGAAUUCCCAGUGUAGGAGUGAAAUCCGUAGAUAUUGGGAGGAACACCGAUGGCGUAGGCAGAUCACUGGCUCGUUCCUGACACUAAGGCACGAAAGCGUGGGUA